This 474-nucleotide long non-coding RNA is filed under the name Setaria italica (foxtail millet). Its description in RNAcentral is "long non-coding RNA (SITA_LNC003392)". The record is from RNAcentral. Lineage: Eukaryota; Viridiplantae; Streptophyta; Magnoliopsida; Poales; Poaceae.
GCGUCAGCGCCGCCGUCGACGCCGUGUUCUGGCGCCUCUACCGCGGCUCGCAGCCGUACUGGGCGCCCAACCGCCGGAUGGUCGACGACGAGUACCGCGGCGCCGACUUCCCCUUCGACCCCGUCGACGGCGAGGCCCACACGGGGCCCUUCGAGUUCUCCACGGAGCGGGCCAUGGACCUGGAUGGCUACCUCACCUACAUCACGUCCUGGUCGGCGUACCAGACGGCCAAGGAGAAGGGCGUCGAGCUGCUCGACGAGGCGACGGUGCAGGAGUUCGCGGCGGCGUGGGGCGGCGAUGGGAAGGAGGUGAAGGCGGUGACGUACCCAAUCUUCCUCAGGAUUGGCAAGGUGAGGGCCGAAUGAUGCACGAAACAAGUUGACGACGGGUGCGAGACGACAGACGACUACUCGGAAUAUAUUUGUGCUGAUAACCUUUCUGUAGAAGGAUUUGUUUUGUAUUGACUGUACUACA